RNAcentral lists this unclassified non-coding RNA (259 nucleotides) under Hevea brasiliensis (rubber tree). Lineage: Eukaryota; Viridiplantae; Streptophyta; Magnoliopsida; Malpighiales; Euphorbiaceae. The record is from RNAcentral.
GGCUCCUUCAAUUGAACUCUCUAUCUCUGAAUUUGCACUGCUACUUCUCUUGAGCAAUUGUAAAUCACAAAACCCAUUUGUUGAACUAAAUGAAAAUGAGGAGGAUGAAGAAGCCGAAGAAGAACCAGAAGAAGAUGAUAAUUGCUUAUUUGCAGAAUGCCGUUGAAUCACCCCUGAGAAGGAUCUCCUUUGGCUGUGAAAACCUUCUCUAGCCAUCUCUCUCUCAAUACUUUUCUUGAGAAUAUUUGAUAUCUCGCAU